GAUGAACGCUGGCGGCGUGCCUAAUACAUGCAAGUCGAGCGAACGGACGAGAAGCUUGCUUUUCUGAUGUUAGCGGCGGACGGGUGAGUAACACGUGGAUAACCUACCUAUAAGACUGGGAUAACUUCGGGAAACCGGAGCUAAUACCGGAUAAUAUUUUGAACCGCAUGGUUCAAAAGUGAAAGACGGUCUUGCUGUCACUUAUAGAUGGAUCCGAGCUGCAUUAGCUAGUUGGUAAGGUAACGGCUUACCAAGGCAACGAUGCAUAGCCGACCUGAGAGGGUGAUCGGCCACACUGGAACUGAGACACGGUCCAGACUCCUACGGGAGGCAGCAGUAGGGAAUCUUCCGCAAUGGGCGAAAGCCUGACGGAGCAACGCCGCGUGAGUGAUGAAGGUCUUCGGAUCGUAAAACUCUGUUAUUAGGGAAGAACAUAUGUGUAAGUAACUGUGCACAUCUUGACGGUACCUAAUCAGAAAGCCACGGCUAACUACGUG
This 497-nucleotide ribosomal RNA is filed under the name uncultured bacterium. RNAcentral's name for it is "partial 16S ribosomal RNA". It matches the Rfam family "Bacterial small subunit ribosomal RNA", at positions 28 to 507 of the family's 1533-position model. The record is from RNAcentral.